Molecule: non-coding RNA, 73 nt
Organism: Prionailurus viverrinus (fishing cat)
Lineage: Eukaryota; Metazoa; Chordata; Mammalia; Carnivora; Felidae
Source: the annotation of a RefSeq genome assembly
GCCUGACUGGCUCAGUUGGUAGAGCAUGAAACUUUUGAUCUUGUGGUCAUGAGUUCAAGCCCCACGUUGGGUA